Molecule: non-coding RNA, 97 nt
Organism: Paramuricea clavata
Lineage: Eukaryota; Metazoa; Cnidaria; Anthozoa; Malacalcyonacea; Plexauridae
Source: the annotation of a GenBank genome assembly
UGGGAUUAAAAUGCAGAACGGAACGAAUAUGAGGUUUAAAACUUAAUGUAAAACCCAUAUCCGUUCCGUUCUGCAUUUUAACCCCAUAUUCGUUUUG